RNAcentral lists this ribosomal RNA (531 nucleotides) under uncultured bacterium. Its description in RNAcentral is "bacterial SSU rRNA". It matches the Rfam family "Bacterial small subunit ribosomal RNA", at positions 777 to 1301 of the family's 1533-position model. The record is from RNAcentral.
AAUAGAUACCCUGGUAGUCCACGCCCUAAACGAUGCGCACUAGAUCGAGGAGAGUGACAUCCCCUUGGUCGAAGCAAAAGUGUUAAGUGCGCCGCCUGGGGAGUACGGUCGCAAGGCUAAAACUCAAAGGAAUUGACGGGGGCUCACACAAGCGGUGGAGCAUGUGGCUUAAUUCGAAGCAACGCGAAGAACCUUAUCCUGGGCUUGACAUGCACGGAUUAACUCCCUGAAAGGGGAGCCAACGCCCUUUGGGUGGAACGUGCACAGGUGCUGCAUGGCUGUCGUCAGCUCGUGCUGUGAAGUGUCGGGUUAAGUCCCAUAACGAGCGAAACCCCUAUCGUUAGUUGCCAGCGAGUCAAGUCGGGCACUCUAACGAGACUGCCGGUGUUAAACCGGAGGAAGGCGGGGAUGACGUCAAGUCCUCAUGGCCUUUAUAUCCAGGGCUGCACACGUGCUACAAUGCCGAUGACAAACCGAAGCAAGACCGUAAGGUGGAGCAAAUCGGAGAAAAAUCGGCCCAGUUCAGAUUGA